UGGGGAAUAUUGGACAAUGGGCGAAAGCCUGAUCCAGCCAUGCCGCGUGUGUGAAGAAGGUCUUCGGAUUGUAAAGCACUUUAAGUUGGGAGGAAGGGCAGUAAGCGAAUACCUUGCUGUUUUGACGUUACCGACAGAAUAAGCACCGGCUAACUCUGUGCCAGCAGCCGCGGUAAUACAGAGGGUGCAAGCGUUAAUCGGAAUUACUGGGCGUAAAGCGCGCGUAGGUGGUUCGUUAAGUUGAAUGUGAAAGCCCCGGGCUCAACCUGGGAACUGCAUCCAAAACUAGCGAGCUAGGGUAGGGCAGAGGGUGGUGGAAUUUCCUGUGUAGCGGUGAAAUGCGUAGAUAUAGGAAGGAACACCAGUGGCGAAGGCGACCACCUGGGCUCAUACUGACACUGAGGUGCGAAAGCGUGGGGAGCAAACAGG
This 429-nucleotide ribosomal RNA is filed under the name Pseudomonadota bacterium. RNAcentral's name for it is "Proteobacteria bacterium partial 16S ribosomal RNA". It matches the Rfam family "Bacterial small subunit ribosomal RNA", at positions 355 to 776 of the family's 1533-position model. Lineage: Bacteria; Pseudomonadati; Pseudomonadota. The record is from RNAcentral.